UCACGUUCGGUAGAUGUAACUAGAUUUGGUAACUUUUUUUUUUAAGCUGUGUAACUGCGGACAUAAUUGUUCUAGUGUAUAAUGUAUUACUGGAAUGUCAGAAAGUAGGUAUCAAAAAUGUGACAUGUAAGUAAGUAAAGGUCAAAUAUCGAAAAUGUGAUGGUUUUGUGGUAAUCUGGUGAAUCUAUUUUUAAACCAAGGAGAAAAUCGCAUCCCUCUAAAAGCCCAAAGAGCAACCCGCAUGUAAAAUUUUGAAUCUUUUCCCUUCACUAGUUUUUUUAGGAGGACAAGCUUUGAUGUCCUCAUCAUGGAUCCAUAAUUUCACCAUGGAUCCGCUCUGGUAUAUCCAUGUCUCAUCCAAGAAAAUGAAAAGUAAAUCUUCACCACAAUCACGCAAUUGGAGAUAGGUACCGCCUUAGAAAUUUGAUUCUGGCAGCUAUAACGUGUUUAAAAUGUGAAAAACUUCGCCUUCGGAAACCUAAAUUUAUAUGUGUAUUACGUACAAUUAUUUUCAAAGCCGAGUGUUUUACCUCUUACAAAACAAUAACGAUUAUAUAAAACUUAAAAACCAAUUGUAGAAAGGAACCAACAAAGCAUGUAGGUAUAUAAAUCUGCGCAGUCGUCUUUCUGAUUCUGAUUAUAAUAUUAACGGCACAAGCGCCGCUGUAUCUGUAUUAUUUUAAAAUUCGAAAAACACUCGACAACACUAGCGAACUUUACGGAGAAUAUUUCUGCCACCAGUUUAACUGUUUCCGUUUUACCCAAUUUUUUGAAAACCACGAAAUAUUUCUUGUUUCUUUUCCUUUAAAAUGGGCUUUCUCGUGAUUACUUUUAUGGAAAUUGUUUCCAUGCUGUAUUUAAGGAUUUUCUUGAAGCGAAGCGUGUUGAAAUUAGAAAAACUUCGGUUUUUUCCACACAAUUCAGAUUUGACAUUUGAAUUAGAAAAUUAGACAGUUGAUGCCAAUCUUAAAUUUCUAGUGAUCUUAAGAUUGCAACUUAACCACAGAAAAGUUUCUGUCAGUUACUUCUACCGAACGUGAAUGCUUAUUAUAUGUGUGACGCACGCACAGGUGUGACGCGCUGCGGCACAUGAGCAAUAACGGUAAUAAAUUUGCGCGAUUUUGAAUUUGAAAAAUUUAAGUGUGUGAGUGCGAAUACGUGUCGAACACCAACAAGAAGUAAAUACCUACCGAAAAUUAUUUGAAGGAACGCCAUGACGAGAAGAUAUUGUAUUAUUUGUGGCAACAACACAGAAAAUGCGAAGGCACUGCAUUGUUUUCCUCGAUCGCUUGGUAGAUUACGUGAAUGGGGAGAAGCACGAAAAAUUGAGAAUAUAGAAAAAAAGUGAAAGCACACUGGAGAAUUUGCAGUGAAUACUUUUCCGCAAAUUUUUACGCUAACAAUUGGUCAGCAACUUUAAAUCGAAAUGCAGUACCUUCGCAAUACAUCCAAACUUCCGAGACUGAGGUACUAAUUAUUAAAGAAAAGGAAAUAACUAUUAUCAUUGAAGAGAAUGUGCUGCAGCCACCAACUGUGACACCCCCAGUUCCUCCGGUCGAACCGUUAAUGGUUACAGAUGAAGACAUACAUUUUUCAACACCAAUUAAAGUUCCCUCCACUCAUCCUGUUCCAUCGACAUCAAAAGGAAGUGCUUCUCUGAUGUAUGAUACUUCUAUGCUCACUUCUUUGCAUGAAACGCCUACUUCUUCUUGUUCUUCUAUUAAUUUUCGUCAAAAUGCGACUAUUUUGUCUACUAACGAGUCCAAAGCACCAUCGAUUAGUAGAUCUUUGUUUAAGAAAUGUAAUCUCAAUUUCUCGUGGAAAAGGUGUACUCCACGCGAAAAGAAAUUGAGAUCCAUACUUAAACAAAGAUUUUGAUUUCUAGUUUCUGUUUUAUUAUUAAAUAAAAAUUAUUGUGAUAUCCUCGCAGUUUCAAUAAUUUUUAUUUAAUAUAAAGCAAGAGAAUUAGAAGAUUCCUUAUUUAUAAUAAUUUGUAUGUCAUCUCAUUUUAAUCAUAUUGUUAAGCUAUUGUAUAAUAAUUAUAUCAACAAUACCACUGC
Zophobas morio is the source of this 2060-nucleotide long non-coding RNA. RefSeq lists it as uncharacterized. The record is from RefSeq and is a predicted model, not a curated record. Lineage: Eukaryota; Metazoa; Arthropoda; Insecta; Coleoptera; Tenebrionidae. The transcript has 5 exons.